This 395-nucleotide ribosomal RNA is filed under the name uncultured bacterium. RNAcentral's name for it is "partial 16S ribosomal RNA". It matches the Rfam family "Bacterial small subunit ribosomal RNA", at positions 338 to 730 of the family's 1533-position model. The record is from RNAcentral.
CCUACGGGAGGCAGCAGUGAGGAAUAUUGGUCAAUGGUCGUAAGCCUGAACCAGCCAAGUCGCGUGAGGGAUGAAGGUUCAAUGUAUCGUAAACCUCUUUUAUAAGGGAAUAAAGAGCGGGACGUGUCCCGGGUUGUAUGUACCUUAUGAAAAAGGAUCGGCUAACUCCGUGCCAGCAGCCGCGGUAAUACGGAGGAUCCGAGCGUUAUCCGGAUUUAUUGGGUUUAAAGGGUGCGUAGGCGGCCUUGUAAGUCAGCGGUUAAAGCCUGUGGCUCAACCAUAGAAUUGCCGUUGAAACUGGCAGUCUUGAGUUUGAGUGAGGCAGGCGGAAUGCGCGGUGUAGCGGUGAAAUGCUUAGAUAUCACGCAGAACCCCGAUUGCGAAGGCAGCAUGCC